This 463-nucleotide ribosomal RNA is filed under the name uncultured bacterium. RNAcentral describes it as "partial 16S ribosomal RNA". It matches the Rfam family "Bacterial small subunit ribosomal RNA", at positions 339 to 795 of the family's 1533-position model. The record is from RNAcentral.
CCUCGGGUGGCAGCAGUGGGGAAUAUUGCGCAAUGGGCGAAAGCCUGACGCAGCGACGCCGCGUGAGGGAUGAAGGUCUUCGGAUCGUAAACCUCUGUCAGCAGGGAAGAACGGUCACUGUGCUAAUCAGCAGUGAAUUGACGGUACCUGCAAAGGAAGCACCGGCUAACUCCGUGCCAGCAGCCGCGGUAAUACGGAGGGUGCGAGCGUUAUUCGGAUUUAUUGGGUUUAAAGGGUGCGUAGGGGGACUGGAAAGUCAGCGGUAAAAUCGAGAGGCUCAACCUCUUUCCGCCGUUGAAACUGUCGGUCUUGAGUGGGCGAGAAGUAUGCGGAAUGCGUGGUGUAGCGGUGAAAUGCAUAGAUAUCACGCAGAACUCCGAUUGCGAAGGCAGCAUACCGGCGCCCGACUGACGCUGAGGCACGAAAGCGUGGGUAUCGAACAGGAUUAGAUACCCUGGUAGUC